UGGCUCAGGACGAACGCUGGCGGCAGGCCUAACACAUGCAAGUCGAGCGGCAGCGGGAAAGUAGCUUGCUACUUUUGCCGGCGAGCGGCGGACGGGUGAGUAAUGCCUGGGAAAUUGCCCAGUCGAGGGGGAUAACAGUUGGAAACGACUGCUAAUACCGCAUACGCCCUACGGGGGAAAGCAGGGGACCUUCGGGCCUUGCGCGAUUGGAUAUGCCCAGGUGGGAUUAGCUAGUUGGUGAGGUAAUGGCUCACCAAGGCGACGAUCCCUAGCUGGUCUGAGAGGAUGAUCAGCCACACUGGAACUGAGACACGGUCCAGACUCCUACGGGAGCAGCAGUAGGAA
RNAcentral lists this ribosomal RNA (345 nucleotides) under Aeromonas hydrophila. RNAcentral's name for it is "bacterial SSU rRNA". It matches the Rfam family "Bacterial small subunit ribosomal RNA", at positions 20 to 360 of the family's 1533-position model. The record is from RNAcentral. Lineage: Bacteria; Pseudomonadati; Pseudomonadota; Gammaproteobacteria; Aeromonadales; Aeromonadaceae.